GGAGAGGUGCCGGAGUGGUUGAACGGGCACGACUGGAAAUCGUGUGUGCGUUAACGCGUACCGAGGGUUCGAAUCCCUCUCUCUCCG
This 87-nucleotide transfer RNA is filed under the name Paraconexibacter algicola. It matches the Rfam family "tRNA". Rfam says of the family: Transfer RNA (tRNA) molecules are approximately 80 nucleotides in length. Their secondary structure includes four short double-helical elements and three loops (D, anti-codon, and T loops). RNAcentral also lists the same sequence under 1 other name. Lineage: Bacteria; Bacillati; Actinomycetota; Thermoleophilia; Solirubrobacterales; Paraconexibacteraceae. The record is from Rfam by way of RNAcentral.